Molecule: RNA transcript, 2803 nt
Organism: Coffea arabica (coffee)
Lineage: Eukaryota; Viridiplantae; Streptophyta; Magnoliopsida; Gentianales; Rubiaceae
Gene name: NAC domain-containing protein 82-like
Source: RefSeq, a predicted model, not a curated record
CUGUCUCUAUAAAAACCCCUCAUUUCCCAACAAUUUCACUCUCUUUCAUUUGCAUUUGCUUCUUCCCACAUACUAUCUCUUCACGCGUUUUCUCUCUUCGUCUCGCCUCUCCCGUCCGUCGCCCAUUAGGGUUUUGUACUGCACGCCAGAUGUCUUUUGGUUCCUUGAAGAAGUAUCAUUUGUUUUUCUGGGGCGCUUUCUGUUUCAUGAACCAGGGAAGGCUGUGGUGCCAUCGGAAGAUCUUAUUUAGGCAUUGGACUUGACGUUGGCUGACUUAGUUAGGAGGGAGGAGGGUAUUGUGUUGGGGUUUGUGGCGUACAUAUAUCUUCUUCUAGUGCUUUUCUUUUUAGUUUCCUUUUUCUUCAUCUGGUUAACUAUUUGCUUCUCCGACGAAGUACAAUAUUGUCUUGGAAAGGGUUUGGUAUUGCUUUUUGUCAGACACAGAGCUUUGAGAAGAUUGUUACUGUUGUUAAGAAGUUAUUCUCUUGGGGGACGUUCUGAGGUCAUUCUUGAUGGUGAGGACGUCCCUUCCUCCUGGAUUUCGCUUUCAUCCAACUGAUGUUGAGCUGGUUAUGUACUAUCUGAAACGGAAGGUAAUGGGAAAGAAAAUUCCUUUUGAAGCCAUAUCAGAGCUCAACAUUUACAAAUUCUCUCCAUGGGAUCUUCCUGAUAAAUCUUGCUUGAAAAGUAAGGAUCUUGAGUGGUAUUUCUUCUGCCCAAGAGAGAGGAAGUAUGCAAGCGGGUCAAGAAUGAACCGUUCAACUGAAACUGGAUACUGGAAGACCACAGGAAAGGAUAGACCUGUUACUUAUAAUAAGAACAGUGUUGGAAUGGUUAAGACCUUGGUGUUCCACCAAGGUUGUGCUCCGCGCGGGCAAAGAACUGAUUGGGUGAUACAUGAAUACAGGAUUGAAGAUAAGAACUUGGCUGAUAUGGGGUAUGCUCAGGAUGCUUAUGUUUUGUGCAAACUCUUCCACAAGAGUGGACCAGGACCUAAAAAUGGUGCAUCGUAUGGAGCGCCUUUUAGAGAAGAGGACUGGGAUGAUGAUGAAGAGAUUCCUGUUGACUCUUUGUUACCUGGUGGCCCAUCAACUGUAGAACCUGUGCAGCCUGAAAAUGAUAACUCUUCUGCUGCCAUUAGCUUGGUUGACCUUGGAAAUGCACCCCUAAUGCCCCCAAAUGAACCUGGACCUUCCUUUGUUCAGCCUUCCAAAGAUACGGUUCUCUCGAAUGGUCAGAAUAGUUCAAUGGUCACAAGAGUGGUUGAUACUGGGAAUGCAUCUGGAUGGUCUUUAAGUGAAGCUGGUCUAACCUCAGCUAGCCAUUCUGGUAAUGGCAUGGACAUGGACCCACCAGAUGAUAUUCUUCAUUUGCUUGCAGCUUUCUCAGAAGAUAGCCCUUUGCUCCCCACUGUUAAUGGAAAUACUGAGCUUGGUGAUCUUGGUCAAGGAAGAGCUGCGGAAGCUAUCCCUCAUUCAGAUGGAGGUGAUCUAUUUAGUGGUCUAGAAGACCUCAGUAACUUGGCUGAGCUCAAUGGAGGUGGACUUAAUUUGUUUGAUAAUUAUCAAAUUGGCUAUACUACAAACAACAUGCGUCUACAAGAUGACAGUGGCUUUUUAGAACUUAAUGACCUUGAUGCUCCACUGAAUUUCACUGCUCAAUCUUGUGGACCUGAACAAAUGCAUACUGGUGGCUUAUAUAGACCGAGCAAUUCUAGUGGAUCUGAGCAUGUGUUUGCUGGGAGUUUAUGCACUGAAUACAACACUAGCAACCAUACCUGGAAUGGUGACAAUAUUCCUGGUUACGAGCAACAUCCGACAGACUUGCAUCAUCUUUUAGUGUUGCCCGAUGCAUCUGACAUACAAGGAAACUCCACUAGUAUUUUCCCAAUGGGGAACGUCUAUGACAGUACGAAUGCUGCAUACAAUUUGGAUUUUACUACUAACAGACCAUUGGAGGAUAUCAGGAAUGCUGCUGGAAAUCAAGAAAGAGGUAGAUCUCAUAAUUUCUGAUGACAAUUCUGGUCGUUGCACAAGCUUCAAGAUCUAUUUAUAGUUCUGAAGUCAAGUCAAUGUAGAGAGCCCAGCUAGAGAUACUGGGCAUCUGUGGAUAGUUUGCAUCUUGUGAAACUGGAGUUUCUACAUGAUGCAUGAUGCUUGACGGUACUAUGUACCUCUAGGUCUCAUCUGAUAAUGUAGGCCGCAUUAUUGUCAAAGAGAGGUGACAAAGAACCUAUUUCUUGUACCUCUUGUUCUUUUUUCUUUUGUCCUAGGUGAUUCUGUCAUCAUUUUACAAUGUCAAUUGCAGCAUCUGAUGAUGUUGCAAAAACCUCUUAUUUAUGGUCCAUGGGUGCUGCAGGAGCGCAGCAAAGAACACCACACUACUCAAGACUCCAACAGUUGUUGGAGUCCGUACCUGCUGAUCCUGCAUCAGCUGCUUAUGAUGGCUCCUCCAUACAUGUCAAGGCCGAGGUGACUUAUAGAUUCGCUACUUGCACUAAAGACGCUUUGUCAGUUAUGGUGGGGGAGUCUACUUUUGUCUUUAGCCCUUGGUGGAACCUGCCUGUGCUAGGAUUUCAGAAGGCAGUGGGAUACCGCGGUUGUGGUUCUCCUGUUGUGUUCUGUUUAAGAUUGGAUUCAGCUUUCGUGUGCAUGCUGAUGUUUUCACUUUUAAGAGAAUUUGUCUGGUAUUUGUGGAGCUGGUUUUGCUUUUGUGAAAUAAUCGGUUGCUUUAAAACGAUUCAUCAAUUUGUAUUAACUCAUCAGCGAGCGCAUGUAGUCUCAAUUAAAAGCAUGGAUUUUAU